CUGAGACACGAAGCCUGGAAACAAUGUGUGUGUGGGGGUGACUUUUCUGCAUGGCCAACGUGGAGGAAUGGCUGGACAUGAUCCAUGGAGGGCCACCCAGCAGUUUGGAUGAAGAGUCUGGAUUAGAAACUUGGAAUUUUCAUGUCAUCCUCCCAAACUCUGCAAACCUGGUCCACGAAACCAAAGUUUUCUAAGACUUUGAAGCCCAAAGUGGGAGGAGGAUUAUCCAGAAGGACCCGGGAAUGAGCAUUCUCUGUAAUGAGCAAAAGCAAUGAGAGUGUGGGAUAUGGGACAUCGUACAACUCAGAAGAUGAUCCGAGGACAUACUGAGCCGUGGUCAAAGGAGCAGGAAUGACAGAGCAGCACUGUAUGCUAUCUAUAGUUUCUUGCAUCUGUGCAUUUGUCUAAGUUAACAAUGGCUUGCACACUCAUCUUAUACUGUGUCUGUUGACCUCAUAAAAUCGUAUUAAAACUGUCUCUUUACCUACUGUUAAGCAUAAUUAUUAGGGACUUUGGGGUCCUACUUAAUGAAUUAUGUCUGCGUUGUGGUAGCACUUCUUGAUCAUUUGUUCUAUUUGAUGUCAUACUUGGCGAAUCUUUUCUUUCCCUUGGUUUGCUUUCUAGGGACAAACAAGCCAACUUCAUAUUAUUAUAAGAGUCCCA
Molecule: long non-coding RNA, 663 nt
Filed under: Cricetulus griseus (Chinese hamster)
Lineage: Eukaryota; Metazoa; Chordata; Mammalia; Rodentia; Cricetidae
Description: lncRNA (ENSCGRG00000026400.1)
Source: RNAcentral